GUCUAUGGUCAUGCUGCCCUGAACAAGCCCGAUCCCCUCUCAUCUCAGAAGCUAAGCAGGGUCGGGCCUGGUUAGUACUUGGAUGGGAGACCACCUAGGAAGACCAGGUGCUGUAGGUG
Molecule: non-coding RNA, 119 nt
Organism: Pteropus alecto (black flying fox)
Lineage: Eukaryota; Metazoa; Chordata; Mammalia; Chiroptera; Pteropodidae
Source: Rfam